GGGUCCUACGGGCGCAGCAGUGGGGGAUAUUGCACAAUGGGGGAAACCCUGAUGCAGCAACGCCGCGUGAGUGACGAAGGUCUUCGGAUUGUAAAACUCUGUUCUUGGUGAAGAUAAUGACGGUAGCCAAGGAGAAAGCUCCGGCUAACUACGUGCCAGCAGCCGCGGUAAUACGUAGGGAGCGAGCGUUGUCCGGAAUUACUGGGUGUAAAGGGUGCGUAGGCGGGCUUUUAAGUCAGCGGUAAAAAUUCGGGGCUCAACCCCGUCCGGCCGUUGAAACUGGGGGCCUUGAGUGGGCGAGAAGA
This 305-nucleotide ribosomal RNA is filed under the name uncultured bacterium. Its description in RNAcentral is "bacterial SSU rRNA". It matches the Rfam family "Bacterial small subunit ribosomal RNA", at positions 334 to 658 of the family's 1533-position model. The record is from RNAcentral.